RNAcentral lists this ribosomal RNA (850 nucleotides) under Cerinomyces aculeatus. Its description in RNAcentral is "partial large subunit ribosomal RNA". Lineage: Eukaryota; Fungi; Basidiomycota; Dacrymycetes; Dacrymycetales; Cerinomycetaceae. The record is from RNAcentral.
ACCCGCUGAACUUAAGCAUAUCAAUAAGCGGAGGAAAAGAAACUAACAAGGAUUCCCCUAGUAACUGCGAGUGAAGCGGGAAGAGCUCAAAUUUGUAAUCGCYUCGGCGAGUUGUAAACUAGAGAAGCGUUAUCAGGCCCCGACCGCGCUAAAGUCCCUUGGAACAGGGUGUCAUAGAGGGUGAGAAUCCCGUGCUUGGCGUGGCUGCGGGGCUGYAGAGGCGCUCUCGACGAGUCGAGUUGUUUGGGAAUGCAGCUCAAAAYGGGUGGUAAACUCCAUCUAAAGCUAAAUAGUGGCGAGAGACCGAUAGCGAACAAGUACCGUGAGGGAAAGAUGAAAAGGACUUUGGAAAGAGAGUUAAACAGUACGUGAAAUUGCUGAAAGGGAAGCGCUUGGAGUAAGUCGCGUGUGCAGGAAUCAGCUCGCGCAUUUCCUGCBCACGGGCCAGCAUCGACCUCGGGCGGCGGAGAAGGGCUGGAGGAAUGUGGCAUCUUCGGGUGUGUUAUAGCCUCCUGCCGUACACGUCGCGCGGGGUCGAGGACCGCGGCUCUGCCUAGGAUGCUGGCGUAAUGGCUUCAAGCGACCCGUCUUGAAACACGGACCAAGGAGUCUAACAUGCGUGCGAGUGUUUGGGUGKBAAACCCAGGCGCGUAAUGAAAGUGAACGGAGGUGGGAGCUUCGGCGCACCAUCGACCGGUCCGGAACUUCUGGGAUGGAUCUGAGUAAGAGCAUGUAUGUUGGGACCCGAAAGAUGGUGAACUAUGCCUGAAUAGGGCGAAGCCAGAGGAAACUCUGGUGGAGGCUCGUAGCGAUUCUGACGUGCAAAUCGAUCGUCAAAUUUGGGUAUAGG